UCCAUCCAUUUCCUACAACAGCCGCCGCCUCGUGGUACUCGCUCCCGAGCGCCUCCGCGUCGCUCCUACCAUCCAGCGCCCGCGUCGCCAGGUGAAGCUCGAUCCCGAGCUGUGCGUCCCCCUCUAAACUGCUCCUUGGUCACCGGAGCCCACCACCAUGGCAGCCCAAGGAAGCUCCAGUUCAGCCGCCAUCUCUCGUAUUAUUUUUUGACUCGAAUUUGUCUCCACUCAGCUUGAGCCCGAUAACUUAUACGAUGUUAGUCUGGUAGCUUUCUACUGUAUCAGCAUAAUAACACUCACUUUGAUAGCAUGUUUUAACUCAUUUUAUUUUUCAGCAUGGUAA
Molecule: long non-coding RNA, 343 nt
Organism: Triticum dicoccoides
Lineage: Eukaryota; Viridiplantae; Streptophyta; Magnoliopsida; Poales; Poaceae
Exons: 2
Source: RefSeq, a predicted model, not a curated record